UUAGUCUUUACCUCAUAGAAGAUGAAGUUUUCCUGAGUGCAGUCCCUCAAUUGUAGAUGGUCUUCUCUCUCUGACAACCAAAUGACUUCAACCAUAUGGACAAGGGUCCACCCUUCAACUCCUACCACCUAACCAGUCUGAGGAGGUCAGAGCUCUGGAAUGUUCUAGGAAUCACAGACUCUCUAAGAGCAGAUGCAUAGUGGGACAUGACUCAGAGGCCAUGAUCCAGAUGCAGCCAGAAUCAGACCCAGGUUUGGGGACCGAAAAGUAAUGCCCAUAUGUUCUGAUUUGAAGUAGUGACCUGACAAUGUCUUCAAACAAACUGAGAUGUCUGGAUUCCUGACCAGACCCCCAGUCAGGUCACGUGGAGUCUCAGCUUAGACUGGGCCUCGCCAUCCAGGGGACAGGCCUUUCUCAUCCCAAGCUGGGGUCUCCAAAGGGGGUUGUACCUCCAGCCAGGAACCAGCCGAGAAGUUGUGAAAAACCCAUUUUAUGACACUCACGUAGCCAUGGUGAGCUUUGACAAGAAAAUGGAGAGUGUGCAAAACAUUGACAACUGCCCUGGAAUCUUCUCCCUGGGAAAUGAGAAAUUCUGUCUUCAUGAGGUAUAAAUUAUGAAUAUCAUGACUAGUGUCCAGAGGGUCCACCUGGCUGUCCCCUCACGAUGGAAAGCACAUUUAAGAUGAUCCCAAUUGUAAGAUGCUUCAUUACUGUGUACCACUAAGAAAGAAAAAGAUACUAAUUAAACUCUGACCCGACAGUGAUGGGGAGACACAUCCCAACCCAGAGAUGUUAAACUGUGAAGAAAAAAAAGGCAUGUCUUAGAUGCAAUGAAAUAUGGUAAAUGCUUCAAUAAUAAUGACUUCAUGCAGA
This is a non-coding RNA of Callorhinus ursinus (northern fur seal), 873 nucleotides long. The record is from RefSeq and is a predicted model, not a curated record. Lineage: Eukaryota; Metazoa; Chordata; Mammalia; Carnivora; Otariidae.